GAUGAACGCUGGCGGCGUGCCUAAUACAUGCAAGUCGAGCGAACGGACGAGAAGCCUGCUUCUCUGAUGUUAGCGGCGGACGGGUGAGUAACACGUGGAUAACCUACCUAUAAGACUGGGAUAACUUCGGGAAACCGGAGCUAAUACCGGAUAAUAUUUUGAACCGCAUGGUUCAAAAGUGAAAGACGGUCUUGCUGUCACUUAUAGAUGGAUCCGCGCUGCAUUAGCUAGUUGGUAAGGUAACGGCUUACCAAGGCAACGAUGCAUAGCCGACCUGAGAGGGUGAUCGGCCACACUGGAACUGAGACACGGUCCAGACUCCUACGGGAGGCAGCAGUAGGGAAUCUUCCGCAAUGGGCGAAAGCCUGACGGAGCAACGCCGCGUGAGUGAUGAAGGUCUUCGGAUCGUAAAACUCUGUUAUUAGGGAAGAACAUAUGUGUAAGUAACUGUGCACAUCUUGACGGUACCUAAUCAGAAAGCCACGGCUAACUACGU
RNAcentral lists this ribosomal RNA (496 nucleotides) under uncultured bacterium. RNAcentral's name for it is "partial 16S ribosomal RNA". It matches the Rfam family "Bacterial small subunit ribosomal RNA", at positions 28 to 506 of the family's 1533-position model. The record is from RNAcentral.